UAAGCGGAGGAAAAGAAACUAACAAGGAUUCCCCUAGUAACUGCGAGUGAAGCGGGAAAAGCUCAAAUUUAAAAUCUGGCGGUCUUAGGCCGUCCGAGUUGUAAUUUAGAGAAGCGACUUCCGCGCCGGACCGUGCACAAGUCUCCUGGAAUGGAGCGUCAUAGAGGGUGAGAAUCCCGUCUUUGACACGGACUACCAGUGCUUUGUGAUGCGCUCUCAAAGAGUCGAGUUGUUUGGGAAUGCAGCUCAAAAUGGGUGGUGAAUUCCAUCUAAAGCUAAAUAUUGGCGAGAGACCGAUAGCGAACAAGUACCGUGAGGGAAAGAUGAAAAGCACUUUGGAAAGAGAGUGAAACAGUACGUGAAAUUGUUGAAAGGGAAACGCUUGAAGUCAGUCGCGUCGACCGAGACUCAGCCUUGCCUCGGCUUGGUGUACUUCUCGGCCCGACGGGUCAGCGUCAAUUUUGCCCCUCGGAUAAUGGCAAGGGAAAGGUGGCACCUUUACGGGUGUGUUAUAGUCUCCUGUCGCAUGCGAGGGGUGGGAUUGAGGAACUCAGCGCGCACCUUGGUGUCGGGGCUUCGGCCCACGUCACGCGCUUAGGAUGCUGGCGUAAUGGCUUUAAACGACC
Molecule: ribosomal RNA, 626 nt
Filed under: uncultured Russulaceae
Lineage: Eukaryota; Fungi; Basidiomycota; Agaricomycetes; Russulales; Russulaceae
Description: LSU rRNA
Rfam family: Eukaryotic large subunit ribosomal RNA
Source: RNAcentral